CUUUUAUCAACUCCCUUAUCUUUAUCGAUAAUCGAGCUUGGACUUGGAAGUUGCUGGCGUCCAUUAACCAUGUCAGCUCUUCUCAAUUGCAUUAGCAAUCGCUUACAGUGCAAGUCAACUCCUUGACACACCAAUUAGCCUUUGACAUGGUAAUCAUAAUCCCAUCUGUCAUAGUGAAUUUUUGGUAUUGCUCAUCAUUAGCAUUGCUUCUAAUCCUAAUCCUAGCACUUAGUUACUAGUUGGCUCUAAUCAUCAGCUGACGAACACAAGUACUACUUUCCUUAUC
RNAcentral lists this unclassified non-coding RNA (286 nucleotides) under uncultured Austroboletus. RNAcentral describes it as "sequence contains ITS2". The record is from RNAcentral. Lineage: Eukaryota; Fungi; Basidiomycota; Agaricomycetes; Boletales; Boletaceae.